This 253-nucleotide ribosomal RNA is filed under the name uncultured bacterium. RNAcentral describes it as "partial 16S ribosomal RNA". It matches the Rfam family "Bacterial small subunit ribosomal RNA", at positions 524 to 776 of the family's 1533-position model. The record is from RNAcentral.
UACGUAGGGGGCUAGCGUUGUCCGGAAUCAUUGGGCGUAAAGCGCGUGUAGGCGGCCCGAUAAGUCCGCUGUGAAAGUCGGGGGCUCAACCCUCGAAAGCCGGUGGAUACUGUCAGGCUAGAGUACGGAAGAGGCGAGUGGAAUUCCCGGUGUAGCGGUGAAAUGCGCAGAUAUCGGGAGGAACACCAAUGGCGAAGGCAGCUCGCUGGGACGGUACUGACGCUGAGACGCGAAAGCGUGGGGAGCAAACAGG